This 69-nucleotide transfer RNA is filed under the name Ictidomys tridecemlineatus (thirteen-lined ground squirrel). RNAcentral's name for it is "Spermophilus tridecemlineatus (thirteen-lined ground squirrel) tRNA". It matches the Rfam family "tRNA". Rfam says of the family: Transfer RNA (tRNA) molecules are approximately 80 nucleotides in length. Lineage: Eukaryota; Metazoa; Chordata; Mammalia; Rodentia; Sciuridae. The record is from Rfam by way of RNAcentral.
GGGGUUGUGGCUUAGUGGUAGAGUGCUCACCUCGAAAGUGCGAGACCCUGGGUUCGAUUCUCAGCACCA